This 502-nucleotide ribosomal RNA is filed under the name uncultured bacterium. RNAcentral describes it as "partial 16S ribosomal RNA". It matches the Rfam family "Bacterial small subunit ribosomal RNA", at positions 30 to 523 of the family's 1533-position model. The record is from RNAcentral.
AUUGAACGCUGGCGGCAGGCCUAACACAUGCAAGUCGAACGGUAGCACAGAGAGCUUGCUCUCGGGUGACGAGUGGCGGACGGGUGAGUAACGUCUGGGAAACUGCCCGAUGGAGGGGGAUAACUACUGGAAACGGUAGCUAAUACCGCAUAACGUCGCAAGACCAAAGUGGGGACCUUCGGGCCUCACACCAUCGGAUGUGCCCAGAUGGGAUUAGCUAGUAGGUGGGGUAUGGCUCACCUAGGCGACGAUCCCUAGCUGGUCUGAGAGGAUGACCAGCCACACUGGAACUGAGACACGGUCCAGACUCCUACGGGAGGCAGCAGUGGGGAAUAUUGCACAAUGGGCGCAAGCCUGAUGCAGCCAUGCCGCGUGUAUGAAGAAGGCCUUCGGGUUGUAAAGUACUUUCAGCGGGGAGGAAGGCGGUGAAGUUAAUAGCUUAACCGAUUGACGUUACCCGCAGAAGAAGCACCGGCUAACUCCGUGCCAGCCGCCGCGGUAA